UGGGUUUGAUCCUGGCUCAGAUUGAACGCUGGCGGGAUGCUUUACAUACGAAGUCGAACGGCAGCACGGACUUCAGUCUGGUGGCGAGUGGCGAACGGGUGAGUAAUGUAUCGGAACGUGCCUAGUAGCGGGGGAUAACUACGCGAAAGCGUAGCUAAUACCACGCCGCCCUUCGGGGAAAGCAGGGGACCUUCGGGCCUCGCACUAUUGAAACGGCCGAUAUCGAGUUAGCUAGUUGGUGGAGUAACCGGCUCACCAAGGCGACGAUCCGUAGCUGGUUUGAGAGGACGACCAGCCACACUGGGACUGAGACGCGACCCGAACUCACGGAGGCAGCAGUGGGAAUUUUGGACAAUGGGGAAACCCUGAUCCAGCCAAGCCCGCGUGUGCGAUGAAGGCCUUCGGGUUGUAAAGCACUUUUGGCGGGAAAGAAACGGCACGGGAUAAUACGCCACCCGUGCCGUUUCUUUCCGCCGCGGGGCCCGCGUAGCCCCGAGGCCUUCGUCCGCACGCCCGGAGUGGAUCCGGACCCCCCAUUAAUCAAAAUUUUACUCCGUAGGUGCGGAGCCGUGUCUCAGUCCCGGUGUCCCCCGGUAGUCCGUCCUCUCAAACCGGCCCCGCGGAUCGUCGCCCCCCGUGGCCGUUCCCCCCCCACCCUUUAGUAGUCCGAUAGUCGGCCGCUCUGUAGUGCAACCCGAAGAUCCCCACUUUCCCCGAGGGGCGUAUGCGACAUUAGCUACGCUUUCGCGUAGUUAUCCCCGCUACCGUUCGAUACUCACCGUUCGCCACUCGCCGCCAGACCGAGGCUCCGUAGCGCCGUUCGUGUAUGCAAGGCGGCUCGCGUUCAAUCUGAGCCGAGAUCAAACC
RNAcentral lists this unclassified non-coding RNA (867 nucleotides) under uncultured Bordetella sp. Its description in RNAcentral is "partial 16S-23S ribosomal RNA intergenic spacer". The stretch from base 2 to 506 matches the Rfam family "Bacterial small subunit ribosomal RNA", at positions 9 to 546 of the family's 1533-position model. Lineage: Bacteria; Pseudomonadati; Pseudomonadota; Betaproteobacteria; Burkholderiales; Alcaligenaceae. The record is from RNAcentral.